CCUUGUAACCAAGUGCACUGCUGUCAUUCAGGAGCCGAGCCCGCCCCCAGAGUGACCUUCCUCAGCGGACACGCCCCGUCCACCUGUUCCACAGGUGCGCCCGGCAAGAUGGCGGCGGGGCGAGUUUCUGCGGAGUGAGGACGCCGAAAUGAGUCUUCUGUCCGUUUGAGCGUGCUCUCGAAGUUUUAAAAGUCUGCAUUCAGCGUUCUUAUACUACCUUUCACGUGACAAACGCAUUUUAAGAACGGACCUCCGUCUAUGAAAGUGUUUUUUUUCCUAAUUUCUGCGGCUCCUGGUUCUCUGCGCUCCACAGGUGCGCCCGGCAAGAUGGCGGCGGGGCGAGUUUCUGCGGCGUGAGGACGCCGAAAAGUAUUCUGUCCGUUUGAGCGUGCUCUCGAAGAUUUAGAGAUCUGGAUUCAGCGUUUUUAUACUGCCUUUCAUGUGACAAAUGGAUUUCAAGAACGGACCUCCACUUAUGAAAGUGUUUUUUCCUAG
Non-coding RNA from Lepisosteus oculatus (spotted gar), 495 nucleotides. NCBI's taxonomy places the organism in Eukaryota, Metazoa, Chordata, Actinopteri, Semionotiformes, Lepisosteidae. The record is from RefSeq and is a predicted model, not a curated record.